Molecule: long non-coding RNA, 462 nt
Organism: Oncorhynchus tshawytscha (Chinook salmon)
Lineage: Eukaryota; Metazoa; Chordata; Actinopteri; Salmoniformes; Salmonidae
Source: Ensembl
UGGCGGAUUCAGGAACGAUGCUGUCAACUAGACUUUAAACAUUUGCAUAUUUUCUGUCGUUAUGCAUUUCGUGUGGAUAUUGGUCUUUCAAAAACGUACCUAGGUGGCGAGAGAGGGCGGCGGAGGAGAAGAGAGCGCAGGAGGGCUCGAACCAGGAACACAUCGACAACCGCCACCCUCGAAGUAGCAUUACCCAUGCUGAGCAAGGGGAACAAGUAUUCCAUUGAAUCCCUGAGCUGACGAGGGGCAGAACGACAGAUUUUCACCUUGUCAGCUCGGGGGAUCCAAUCUUUGAACCUUACAGUUAACUAUUCCAACGCAAUAACAACCUGCCUCUCAUUGCAGGAGACUGCCUGUUAUGCGAAUGCAGUAAGCCAGGAUUUUGCCAGCAGCUCUUCGGUGUGCGUCAAGCAUUGCGCUGUUUAUGACUUCAUGCCUAUCAACUCCCGAGAGUUGAGGCUG